Molecule: long non-coding RNA, 1143 nt
Filed under: Homo sapiens (human)
Lineage: Eukaryota; Metazoa; Chordata; Mammalia; Primates; Hominidae
Description: long non-coding RNA NONHSAT118736.2
Source: RNAcentral
GGAAAGGGGUGUGAGGUGACCCCAGGCUCACUGGACUGCAGCCCCCACCUCGGUAGCACCCCUGCCCCACCUGCCCCACACACCUUGCCAGAACGACAGGAAGAUGACGGCUUUGAUGGAUCCUGUCCACUGCUCAGGCAGCAUCCAGGCUGCCUCUGUCGGAACGCCACCUCCCAACCCCGUCCACCUGGCCACUGCCUGAAGAUCCUCUGUGUGGUGGACACACAGGUGUCGUUCCCGUGUGAGUGUGUGCACAUAGGUGUGUGUGCAUGUAUGUCGUGUGCACACAGGUGGGGUGCGCUGUGUGUGUGCACAUAUUGCGUGCAUGUGAGUGUACAUACAUGUGUGGUGGUGUGUGCACGGUUUGCGCAUGUGCUGUGUGCAUGUGUGAACAUGUGAUGCACGUGUGUGAUGUGUGCGCACAGGUGACAGCACAUGUGUCCCCGUGUGUGAGCAUCUGUGUGGUGUUGGUGAGCACCUUGGACCUUCGCAGGGGUCCAAGGGGUGAGCUGUGUGGACCUUCGCAGGGGUCCUCCUUGUGCUGGGUGGCUGCCUGUCUGUUCAGCCAACAGGUCGGGGUGGACCUUGGUCCCCUUGGCCCAGGUGCCCUUAAUGCCAAGAGUGCUCAAGGCUGGGCGGGGGCUGGGGCCAUCACUGCCUGGCCAGAAGCCCUGGGGUCCUCGGCGCAGAUGCUGGCACAGACGCUAGACUCACCCCAGCCGUGUCCUGUGAGGGGAGGUCCAGGCCCCCGGCCUUGGCAGGCACCGAGGUCCUUGUGGAGAAGAAGUGGGUACCUGUCUUGGGCGGGGCCCCUAGCCCAGCCGGACGCCAGGCCUGCCUUGUUGGGCCCCACCGCUGGGCCCCAGGGGACCCAGUGCCCACCUCAUGCCAGGUGCCCCCGCAGCUCCCACCUUACUUGAGCCCAGCUGGACGCCAAGUCCGCCUCGUUGGGCCCCACUCCCGGGCCCCGGGGGACCCAGUGCCCACCUCAUGCCAGGUGUCCCCGCAGCUCCCGCCUUACUUGAAGUCCCCGUCGUGGUAUUUGCCAAAUGCCUGGAGGAUGAUGGUGGUGACGGCCAUGACGGGCUUCACCAGGCAGAACUGCAGAGUGGCCUGGGGGCGACGGCACCCGGUGGGCCUGGG